GAGUUUGAUCAUGGCUCAGGAUGAACGCUGGCGGCGUGCCUAACACAUGCAAGUCGAACGGAGAGCAUAAACGGAAGUUUUCGGAUGGAAGCUUAUGUUCUUAGUGGCGGACGGGUGAGUAACGCGUGGGCAACCUGCCUCAUACAGGGGGAUAACAGACGGAAACGUCUGCUAAGACCGCAUAAGUCGGAACUACCGCAUGGUAGAUUCGGGAAAAGAGCAAUCUGGUAUGAGAUGGGCCUGCGUCCGAUUAGCUAGUUGGUGAGGUAAUAGCUCACCAAGGCGACGAUCGGUAGCCGGACUGAGAGGUCGGACGGCCACAUUGGGACUGAGACACGGCCCAAACUCCUACGGGAGGCAGCAGUGGGGGAUAUUGCACAAUGGAGGAAACUCUGAUGCAGCGACGCCGCGUGAGUGAAGAAGUAUUUCGGUAUGUAAAGCUCUAUCAGCAGGGAAGAUGAUGACG
Molecule: ribosomal RNA, 466 nt
Filed under: Catonella sp. canine oral taxon 160
Lineage: Bacteria; Bacillati; Bacillota; Clostridia; Lachnospirales; Lachnospiraceae
Description: bacterial SSU rRNA
Rfam family: Bacterial small subunit ribosomal RNA
Source: RNAcentral